AUUGAACGCUGGCGGCAGGCCUAACACAUGCAAGUCGAGCGGAUGAAGGGAGCUUGCUCCUGGAUUCAGCGGCGGACGGGUGAGUAAUGCCUAGGAAUCUGCCUGGUAGUGGGGGAUAACGUCCGGAUACGGGCGCUAAUACCGCAUACGUCCUGAGGGAGAAAGUGGGGGAUCUUCGGACCUCACGCUAUCAGAUGAGCCUAGGUCGGAUUAGCUAGUUGGUGGGGUAAAUGCCUACCAAGGCGACGAUCCGUAACUGGUCUGAGAGGAUGAUCAGUCAGAUGGGAAGUGAGACACGGUCCAGACUCCUACGGGAGGCAGCAGUGGGGAAUAUUGGACAAGGGGCGAAAGCCUGAUCCAGCCAUGCCGCGUGUGUGAAGAAGGUCUUCGGAUUGUAAAGCACUUUAAGUUGGGAGGAAGGGCAGUAAGUUAAUACCUUGCUGUUUUGACGUUACCAACAGAAUAAGCACCGGCUAACUUCGUG
Molecule: ribosomal RNA, 484 nt
Filed under: uncultured bacterium
Lineage: Bacteria
Description: partial 16S ribosomal RNA
Rfam family: Bacterial small subunit ribosomal RNA
Source: RNAcentral